GCAAGGGGUGGACGAGAACGCGAGAACUGCGACUUAAUCGGAGGGUGGACGUCAUCGGUGGACCUUAUGGGAAGAAAGUUUGAUAUUGGUUGCCCAAUUGAUGACCUAGUACGUCUAUCAAUACCAAUGUUACCAACAAGCCUCCAACACAUGUCGUUGAUGACAUCCUUAACAAAUUGAUUUCACCUGUUCACAACGACAAACCUGAAGGCAGUGGAUCAAACAAGAAUAUUAAAAGUGGAACAAAUUGAGGACUUUCAUAAUUUGUUAAUUUGUAUUUCAGUUUUAUCAUUGUUGUCAGUUUCGAAUAUUGUCCGUGUUUACAUGGAUUUGUUAUGUAGUACUAUUAGUGAAGUACUAAAGUCAGGUUCAUGAAUGUGUUGCUGCAUUAAGUGGUAAUGUAAUGUAUGUUAUGUUCUAAGUUUUAUAUGAUGUUUUUUU
This 441-nucleotide small RNA is filed under the name Vigna angularis var. angularis. RNAcentral's name for it is "Non-protein coding transcript". The record is from RNAcentral. Lineage: Eukaryota; Viridiplantae; Streptophyta; Magnoliopsida; Fabales; Fabaceae.